GGAGAAGCUGGAACUUUACCAGGCUUUUCCCACUUGCCUUGGGAUUUUCUGCCCAUCUUCCCAGGAACACCCGGCAGGCCCCAUGAAUGGACCUUGGGCCAAAAUGAUGUUUAAGAAGGGGACGGACCAUUUAGAUGACAAAUGGGCUUCAGGGCGCUGUCAGAACUUCCAGGCGGCGGGGACUAUUAACGGUCACAUGGAGGCCGCCGCAUCUGUGAUGGCAGAGCGGAUGCUGAAAUUGGUCACACAGCCUCGAGUCCCAAGGCCCGGACAGAUGUGUUCUAUACACUUGUUUAAACACGGCGCUCAUUAGGAGCUGCUUCCUCUGGGCUUUGUGGUUGCCCAUUUGCCGCCUUCUCAUCCGAUCGCGUUACCCUUAAUAACCAUCGCCCUGGCAGGAGAGGGGUGCCGAAUUCCGUCUCCUGCGUGCCUGCGUGUGUAAUGUGCCGAGCAAGUGAUCCUAAUGAUGCAUUCAGCACACCACUCCCCAAAGACCCGGCUUCCAGCUUAUCCAAAUCCAUUUAUAUUCCCGCUCGGACCUUUGGGAUCAAAAUUCCUGACCCUUUUGUAAAAAGCAAAAACACCGUUUGAAAAAAACAGAAGAGGGAGGUGAAAUUCCCCAAGCUUUCAUUUCCCUUCAUGGUUGAACUUCGAUGACUCAAGUCAUUUGCAGUCAAUCUAUUUCGCUGACUUGUCCUGCUGACUGCCAGGAGGUCAACAUUUCUGACUUUGCCCCUCCAGGGGCAGCAUGUGGUCCCAGCUGGUUGUGCUGUGCUGUGGUGGGAAUGGGGGCUGGGGGAGGUGGCUGUGUCAUCUGGAAGCUACGUUGGGGGCUCUCUUCUUUUGCACUGGAGCUUCACAUUCUGCAAAGAUGAUACUUCCAGGAUAGUGCUUUUGUUUGCUGUUUGUGUUGGGUGGGAUUAGCUCUGAUUACAUAUUAAUAACCUAGAGCACUAUCUAGUAAUUAGAUGUUAUCUUCCAGAUGUUUAAAAGAAACCUUUAAUAUUUUAAGCUGCUUGGAGUUCUCUUGGCACUUUAUUAAAAUGGAUGGAAUUUAAAA
This 1060-nucleotide long non-coding RNA is filed under the name Homo sapiens (human). RNAcentral's name for it is "HSALNT0386180". Lineage: Eukaryota; Metazoa; Chordata; Mammalia; Primates; Hominidae. The record is from RNAcentral.